AUUGAACGCUGGCGGCAUGCCUUACACAUGCAAGUCGAACGGCAGCACGGGAGCAAUCCUGGUGGCGAGUGGCGAACGGGUGAGUAAUGUAUCGGAACGUGCCCAGUCGUGGGGGAUAACGUAGCGAAAGCUACGCUAAUACCGCAUACGAUCUAUGGAUGAAAGCGGGGGAUCGCAAGACCUCGCGCGAUUGGAGCGGCCGAUAUCAGAUUAGGUAGUUGGUGGGGUAAAGGCUCACCAAGCCGACGAUCUGUAGCUGGUCUGAGAGGACGACCAGCCACACGGGGACUGAGACACGGCCCAGACUCCUACGGGAGGCAGCAGUGGGGAAUUUUGGACAAUGGGCGCAAGCCUGAUCCAGCAAUGCCGCGUGCAGGAUGAAGGCCUUCGGGUUGUAAACUGCUUUUGUACGGAACGAAACGGCGAGCUCUAAUACAGUUUGCUAAUGACGGUACCGUAAGAAUAAGCACCGGCUAACUACGUGCCAGCAGCCGCGGUAA
RNAcentral lists this ribosomal RNA (500 nucleotides) under uncultured bacterium. RNAcentral describes it as "partial 16S ribosomal RNA". It matches the Rfam family "Bacterial small subunit ribosomal RNA", at positions 30 to 523 of the family's 1533-position model. The record is from RNAcentral.